This 2139-nucleotide ribosomal RNA is filed under the name Salmonella enterica. RNAcentral describes it as "partial 23S ribosomal RNA". It matches the Rfam family "Bacterial large subunit ribosomal RNA", at positions 1 to 2054 of the family's 2925-position model. Lineage: Bacteria; Pseudomonadati; Pseudomonadota; Gammaproteobacteria; Enterobacterales; Enterobacteriaceae. The record is from RNAcentral.
GGGUUGUGAGGUUAAGCGACUAAGCGUACACGGUGGAUGCCCUGGCAGUCAGAGGCGAUGAAGGGCGUGCUAAUCUGCGAUAAGCGCCGGUAAGGUGAUAUGAACCGUUAUAACCGGCGAUACCCGAAUGGGGAAACCCAGUGUGAUUCGUCACACUAUCAUUAACUGAAUCCAUAGGUUAAUGAGGCGAACCGGGGGAACUGAAACAUCUAAGUACCCCGAGGAAAAGAAAUCAACCGAGAUUCCCCCAGUAGCGGCGAGCGAACGGGGAGGAGCCCAGAGCCUGAAUCAGCAUGUGUGUUAGUGGAAGCGUCUGGAAAGGCGCGCGAUACAGGGUGACAGCCCCGUACACAAAAGCGCAUAUGCUGUGAGCUCGAUGAGUAGGGCGGGACACGUGGUAUCCUGUCUGAAUAUGGGGGGACCAUCCUCCAAGGCUAAAUACUCCUGACUGACCGAUAGUGAACCAGUACCGUGAGGGAAAGGCGAAAAGAACCCCGGCGAGGGGAGUGAAAAAGAACCUGAAACCGUGUACGUACAAGCAGUGGGAGCCCCACCACUAAGCCAGUGGUGAACUCCACAUACGCAUCCUUUGCUGAGGAGACGGUUAACGGAGCGAAAGCGACGUUCAACCUCAAAAGAAGCAGAGGGGGCUUAGUGGUGGGGUGACUGCGUACCUUUUGUAUAAUGGGUCAGCGACUUAUAUUCUGUAGCAAGGUUAACUGUAUAGGGGAGCCGGAGGGAAACCGAGUCUUAACCGGGCGUUAAGUUGCAGGGUAUAGACCCGAAACCCGGUGAUCUAGCCAUGGGCAGGUUGAAGGUUGGGUAACACUAACUGGAGGACCGAACCGACUAAUGUUGAAAAAUUAGCGGAUGACCUGUGGCUGGGGGUGAAAGGCCAAUCAAACCGGGAGAUAGCUGGUUCUCCCCGAAAGCUAUUUAGGUAGCGCCUCGUGAAUUCAUCUCCGGGGGUAGAGCACUGUUUCGGCUAGGGGGCCAUCCCGGCUUACCAACCCGAUGCAAACUGCGAAUACCGGAGAAUGUUAUCACGGGAGACACACGGCGGGUGCUAAUGUCCGUCGUGAAGAGGGAAACAACCCAGACCGCCAGCUAAGGUCCCAAAGUCAUGGUUAAGUGGGAAACGAUGUGGGAAGGCCCAGACAGCCAGGAUGUUGGCUUAGAAGCAGCCAUCAUUUAAAGAAAGCGUAAUAGCUCACUGGUCGAGUCGGCCUGCGCGGAAGAUGUAACGGGGCUAAACCAUGCACCGAAGCUGCGGCAGCGACACCGUGUGUUGUUGGGUAGGGGAGCGUUCUGUAAGCCUGUGAAGGUGUGCUGUGAGGCAUGCUGGAGGUAUCAGAAGUGCGAAUGCUGACAUAAGUAACGAUAAAGCGGGUGAAAAGCCCGCUCGCCGGAAGACCAAGGGUUCCUGUCCAACGUUAAUCGGGGCAGGGUGAGUCGACCCCUAAGGCGAGGCCGAAAGGCGUAGUCGAUGGGAAACGGGUUAAUAUUCCCGUACUUGGUGUUACUGCGAAGGGGGGACGGAGAAGGCUAUGUUGGCCGGGCGACGGUUGUCCCGGUUUAAGCGUGUAGGUAUGUGUUCCAGGUAAAUCCGGUUCACUUUAACACUGAGGCGUGACGACGAGGCACUACGGUGCUGAAGCAACAAAUGCCCUGCUUCCAGGAAAAGCCUCUAAGCAUCAGGUAACAUCAAAUCGUACCCCAAACCGACACAGGUGGUCAGGUAGAGAAUACCAAGGCGCUUGAGAGAACUCGGGUGAAGGAACUAGGCAAAAUGGUGCCGUAACUUCGGGAGAAGGCACGCUGACACGUAGGUGAAGUGAUUUACUCACGGAGCUGAAGUCAGCCGAAGAUACCAGCUGGCUGCAACUGUUUAUUAAAAACACAGCACUGUGCAAACACGAAAGUGGACGUAUACGGUGUGACGCCUGCCCGGUGCCGGAAGGUUAAUUGAUGGGGUCAGCGCAAGCGAAGCUCCUGAUCGAAGCCCCGGUAAACGGCGGCCGUAACUAUAACGGUCCUAAGGUAGCGAAAUUCCUUGUCGGGUAAGUUCCGACCUGCACGAAUGGCGUAAUGAUGGCCAGGCUGUCUCCACCCGAGACUCAGUGAAAUUGAACUCGCUGU